Non-coding RNA from Armillaria mellea, 86 nucleotides. NCBI's taxonomy places the organism in Eukaryota, Fungi, Basidiomycota, Agaricomycetes, Agaricales, Physalacriaceae. The record is from the annotation of a GenBank genome assembly.
GGGGGCAUAGCUCAGCUGGGAGAGCAACAGACUGAAGUCGCUUGGCAACCUUCUGGAGGUCCCCGGUUCAAUCCCGGGUGCCCCCA